This 74-nucleotide transfer RNA is filed under the name Candidatus Woesearchaeota archaeon. Its description in RNAcentral is "tRNA-Asn". It matches the Rfam family "tRNA". From Rfam's summary of the family: Transfer RNA (tRNA) molecules are approximately 80 nucleotides in length. The record is from RNAcentral. Lineage: Archaea; Nanobdellati; Candidatus Woesearchaeota.
GCCCCAGUAGCUUAGCCCGGUGGAGCGGAUGGCUGUUAACCAUCAGGUCAUCGGUUCAAAUCCGAUCUGGGGCG